CCUACGGGCGGCAGCAGUGGGGAAUAUUGGACAAUGGGCGAAAGCCUGAUCCAGCCAUGCCGCGUGUGUGAAGAAGGCCUUCGGGUUGUAAAGCACUUUCAGUGGGGAAGAAAGCCUUGAGGCUAAUACCCUCGAGGAAGGACAUCACCCACAGAAGAAGCACCGGCUAACUCCGUGCCAGCAGCCGCGGUAAUACGGAGGGUGCGAGCGUUAAUCGGAAUUACUGGGCGUAAAGCGCGCGUAGGCGGUCUGAUAAGCCGGUUGUGAAAGCCCCGGGCUCAACCUGGGAACGGCAUCCGGAACUGUCAGGCUAGAGUGCAGGAGAGGAAGGUAGAAUUCCCGGUGUAGCGGUGAAAUGCGUAGAGAUCGGGAGGAAUACCAGUGGCGAAGGCGGCCUUCUGGACUGACACUGACGCUGAGGUGCGAAAGCGUGGGUAGCAAACAGGAUUAGAUACCCCAGUAGUC
This 465-nucleotide ribosomal RNA is filed under the name Vreelandella stevensii. RNAcentral's name for it is "partial 16S ribosomal RNA". It matches the Rfam family "Bacterial small subunit ribosomal RNA", at positions 338 to 795 of the family's 1533-position model. The record is from RNAcentral. Lineage: Bacteria; Pseudomonadati; Pseudomonadota; Gammaproteobacteria; Oceanospirillales; Halomonadaceae.